GAUGAACGCUGGCGGCGUGCCUAAUACAUGCAAGUCGAGCGAACGGACGAGAAGCUUGCUUCUCUGAUGUUAGCGGCGGACGGGUGAGUAACACGUGGAUAACCUACCUAUAAGACUGGGAUAACUUCGGGAAACCGGAGCUAAUACCGGAUAAUAUUUUGAACCGCAUGGUUCAAAAGUGAAAGACGGUCUUGCUGUCACUUAUAGAUGGAUCCGCGCUGCAUUAGCUAGUUGGUAAGGUAACGGCUUACCAAGGCAACGAUGCAUAGCCGACCUGAGAGGGUGAUCGGCCACACUGGAACUGAGACACGGUCCAGACUCCUACGGGAGGCAGCAGUAGGGAAUCUUCCGCAAUGGGCGAAAGCCUGACGGAGCAACGCCGCGUGAGUGAUGAAGGUCUUCGGAUCGUAAAACUCUGUUAUUAGGGAAGAACAUAUGUGUAAGUAACUGUGCACAUCUUGACGGUACCUAAUCAGAAAGCCACGGCUAACUACGUGCCAGCAGCCGCGGUAAUACGUAGGUGGCAAGCGUUAUCCGGAAUUAUUGGGCGUAAAGCGCGCGUAGGCGGUUUUUUAAGUCUGAUGUGAAAGCCCACGGCUCAACCGUGGAGGGUCAUUGGAAACUGGAAAACUUGAGUGCAGAAGAGGAAAGUGGAAUUCCAUGUGUAGCGGUGAAAUGCGCAGAGAUAUGGAGGAACACCAGUGGCGAAGGCGACUUUCUGGUCUGUAACUGACGCUGAUGUGCGAAAGCGUGGGGAUCAAACAGGAUUAGAUACCCUGGUAGUCCACGCCGUAAACGAUGAGUGCUAAGUGUUAGGGGGUUUCCGCCCCUUAGUGCUGCAGCUAACGCAUUAAGCACUCCGCCUGGGGAGUACGACCGCAAGGUUGAAACUCAAAGGAAUUGACGGGGACCCGCACAAGCGGUGGAGCAUGUGGUUUAAUUCGAAGCAACGCGAAGAACCUUACCAAAUCUUGACAUCCUUUGACAACUCUAGAGAUAGAGCUUUCCCCUUCGGGGGACAAAGUGACAGGUGGUGCAUGGUUGUCGUCAGCUCGUGUCGUGAGAUGUUGGGUUAAGUCCCGCAACGAGCGCAACCCUUAAGCUUAGUUGCCAUCAUUAAGUUGGGCACUCUAAGUUGACUGCCGGUGACAAACCGGAGGAAGGUGGGGAUGACGUCAAAUCAUCAUGCCCCUUAUGAUUUGGGCUACACACGUGCUACACUGGACAAUACAAAGGGCAGCGAAACCGCGAGGUCAAGCAAAUCCCAUAAAGUUGUUCUCAGUUCGGAUUGUAGUCUGCAACCCGACUACAUGAAGCUGGAAUCGCUAGUAAUCGUAGAUCAGCAUGCUACGGUGAAUACGUUCCCGGGUCU
Molecule: ribosomal RNA, 1372 nt
Filed under: uncultured bacterium
Lineage: Bacteria
Description: bacterial SSU rRNA
Rfam family: Bacterial small subunit ribosomal RNA
Source: RNAcentral